RNAcentral lists this ribosomal RNA (259 nucleotides) under uncultured archaeon. Its description in RNAcentral is "partial 16S ribosomal RNA". It matches the Rfam family "Archaeal small subunit ribosomal RNA", at positions 748 to 1007 of the family's 1478-position model. The record is from RNAcentral.
UAGCCGUAAACGAUACUCGCUAGGUGUCGGCCACGGUGCGACCGUUGUCGGUGCCGUAGGGAAGCCGUGAAGCGAGCCACCUGGGAAGUACGGCCGCAAGGCUGAAACUUAAAGGAAUUGGCGGGGGAGCACCACAACGGGUGGAGCUUGCGGUUUAAUUGGAUUCAACGCCGGAAAUCUUACCGGGACCGACAGCAACAUGAAGGCCAGGCUGAAGACUUUGCCGGAUUAGCUGAGAGGAGGUGCAUGGCGUAGACGU